This 253-nucleotide ribosomal RNA is filed under the name uncultured bacterium. RNAcentral describes it as "partial 16S ribosomal RNA". It matches the Rfam family "Bacterial small subunit ribosomal RNA", at positions 524 to 776 of the family's 1533-position model. The record is from RNAcentral.
UACGGAGGGUGCGAGCGUUGUCCGGAAUCACUGGGCGUAAAGGGCGCGUAGGCGGCUUGGGAAGUCCGUGGUGAAAGCCCGAGGCUCAACUUCGGGUCGGCCAUGGAUACUCCUAAGCUCGAGUCGACUAGAGGCUAAUGGAAUUCCGGGUGUAGCGGUGGAAUGCGUAGAGAUCCGGAAGAACACCGGUGGCGAAGGCGGUUAGCUGGGGUCGGACUGACGCUGAGGCUCGACAGCGUGGGGAGCAAACAGG